AUUGAACGUUGGCGGCAGGCUUAAAACAUGCAAGUCGAACGGUAACGCGGGGCAACCUGGCGACGAGUGGCGGACGGGUGAGUAACACGUAGGAAUCUGCCCAUUAGUGAGGGAUAACCCGGGGAAACUCGGGCUAAUACCGCAUACGCCCUACGGGGGAAAGCGGGGGAUCUUCGGACCUCGCGCUAUUGGAGGAGCCUGCGUCGGAUUAGCUAGUUGGUGGGGUAAAGGCCUACCAAGGCGACGAUCCGUAGCUGGUCUGAGAGGACGACCAGCCACACUGGGACUGAGACACGGCCCAGACUCCUACGGGAGGCAGCAGUUAGGAAUCUUGGGCAAUGGGGGCAACCCUGACCCAGCCAUGCCGCGUGUGUGAAGAAGGCCUUCGGGUUGUAAAGCACUUUCAAGGGUGAAGAAAGGCCUGAGGCGAAUACCCUCGGGUGUUGACGUUAGCUCUAGAAGAAGUACCGGCUAACUCCGUGCCAGCAGCCGCGGUAACAC
RNAcentral lists this ribosomal RNA (501 nucleotides) under uncultured bacterium. RNAcentral's name for it is "bacterial SSU rRNA". It matches the Rfam family "Bacterial small subunit ribosomal RNA", at positions 29 to 526 of the family's 1533-position model. The record is from RNAcentral.